This 656-nucleotide ribosomal RNA is filed under the name uncultured bacterium. Its description in RNAcentral is "bacterial SSU rRNA". It matches the Rfam family "Bacterial small subunit ribosomal RNA", at positions 232 to 885 of the family's 1533-position model. The record is from RNAcentral.
CGCGGCCUAUCAGCUUGUUGGUGAGGUAACGGCCCACCAAGGCGACGACGGGUAGCCGGCCUGAGAGGGUGACCGGCCACACUGGGACUGAGACACGGCCCAGACUCCUACGGGAGGCAGCAGUGGGGAAUAUUGCACAAUGGACGCAAGCCUGAUGCAGCAACGCCGCGUGAGGGACGACGGCCUUCGGGUUGUAAACCUCUUUUAGUAGGGAAGAAGCGAUGUGCUUGUCACAUCAUGACGGUACCUGCAGAAAAAGCACCGGCUAACUACGUGCCAGCAGCCGCGGUAAUACGUAGGGUGCAAGCGUUAUCCGGAAUUAUUGGGCGUAAAGAGCUCGUAGGCGGUUUGUCGCGUCUGCUGUGAAAACUGGAGGCUCAACCUCCAGCCUGCAGUGGGUACGGGCAGACUAGAGUGCGGUAGGGGAGAUUGGAAUUCCUGGUGUAGCGGUGGAAUGCGCAGAUAUCAGGAGGAACACCGAUGGCGAAGGCAGAUCUCUGGGCCGUAACUGACGCUGAGGAGCGAAAGCAUGGGGAGCGAGCAGGAUUAGAUACCCUGGUAGUCCAUGCCGUAAACGUUGGGCGCUAGGUGUGGGGCUCUUUCCACGAGUUCCGUGCCGCAACAAACGCAUUAAGCGCCCCGCCUGGGGAGUACGG